This 528-nucleotide ribosomal RNA is filed under the name Triticum aestivum (bread wheat). RNAcentral describes it as "partial small subunit ribosomal RNA". The record is from RNAcentral. Lineage: Eukaryota; Viridiplantae; Streptophyta; Magnoliopsida; Poales; Poaceae.
AAACCCCUAAAAUACAAUAUACCGUAAACCCCUAAAACGUCGUCAAACGGUUAUUUCCAAAUGUGGAGAAGUCUAAUACUUUUCGAUCAUUCAAGUCUGAGACCUUCCUCUCUAGUAGCAAACAAUUCCAGACCACAAAUCAACCACCAAUACACCAUGGAUGUGGCAGUGAAAACUAGUUCUGGAGUUCUUCUCUAUAGUAGAGUUCCGACUUGAGGUUAUGAACGUAGGCGGUGGGAUUGCGACCGCACAAGGGAGUCAGGAGAGAGCUGUUUAGCUUAUCAUGUCCAAGAGGCCACGCGGUUCAUAACAGACGCCGCUACGGACGUAGUACCGGUUAACCCCUCUAGAACACAUAAGGUGUAUCUUCUUUAUAACAGUCAAGUUCUUAUCUCUUAAAGACAUGGUCUGAAUUAUAAUCAAACCACGCAUAAGAUAGAAGUCAGGUACUUUUUAGUGUCUUAUCAACCACGCACACAUCUUUUUAGCAGUCACGUUCAAAGUUUUAAGACAUUGAAAUCUAUAUAG